GAAAUGCGAUAAGUAAUGUGAAUUGCAGAAUUCAGUGAAUCAUCGAAUCUUUGAACGCAUCUUGCGCUCCUUGGUAUUCCUUGGAGCAUGCCUGUUUGAGUAUCAUGAAAUCUUCAAAGUAAAUCUUUUGUUAACUCAAUUGGUUUCUACUUUGGUAUUGGAGGUCUUUGCAGCUUCACACCUGCUCCUCUUUGUUCAUUAGCUGGAUCUCAGUGUUAUGCUUGGUUCCACUCGGCGUGAUAAGUUAUCUAUCGCUGAGGACACUGUAAAAGGUGGCCAAGGUAAAUGCAGAUGAACCGCUUCUAAUAGUCCAUUGACUUGGACAAUACUUUUAUGAUCGGAUCUCAAAUCAGGUAGGACUACCCGCUGAACUUAAGC
RNAcentral lists this unclassified non-coding RNA (378 nucleotides) under plant metagenome. RNAcentral describes it as "partial contains 5.8S ribosomal RNA, internal transcribed spacer 2, and large subunit ribosomal RNA". The stretch from base 1 to 105 matches the Rfam family "5.8S ribosomal RNA", at positions 50 to 154 of the family's 154-position model. The record is from RNAcentral.